RNAcentral lists this ribosomal RNA (477 nucleotides) under uncultured bacterium. RNAcentral's name for it is "bacterial SSU rRNA". It matches the Rfam family "Bacterial small subunit ribosomal RNA", at positions 31 to 507 of the family's 1533-position model. The record is from RNAcentral.
GAACGCUGGCGGCAGGCCUAACACAUGCAAGUCGAGCGGUAGGAGAGGUGCUUGCAUCUCUUGAGAGCGGCGGACGGGUGAGUAAUGCCUAGGAAUCUGCCUAGUGGUGGGGAGUAACGUUCGGAAACGGACGCUAAUACCGCAUACGUCCUACGGGAGAAAGCCGGGGGAUCUUCGGACCUCGCGCCAUUAGAUGAGCCUAGUCGGAUUAGCUAGUUGGUGAGGUAAUGGCUCACCAAGGCGACGAUCCGUAACUGGUCUGAGAGGAUGAUCAGUCACACUGGAACUGAGACACGGUCCAGACUCCUACGGGAGGCAGCAGUGAGGAAUAUUGGACAAUGGGCGCAAGCCUGAUCCAGCCAUGCCGCGUGCAGGAAGAAGCAUCUAUGGUGUGUAAACUGCUUUUGUACGGGAAGAAACACUCCUACGUGUAGGAGCUUGACGGUACCGUAAGAAUAAGGAUCGGCUAACUCCGUG